UAAUAAGUGUUUUAUGGCACUUCUUAAAUCCAUAUCCACCUUGUGUGCAAUGUCAGUCGAUUUCUUUAUGGAGAUCGGCCAAACAUCAACUUAUUUUUUAACUGUCUGUCUGAAAACUAUUAUGAAUAAACAAUUCAAAUA
This 141-nucleotide unclassified non-coding RNA is filed under the name soil metagenome. RNAcentral's name for it is "partial internal transcribed spacer 1". The record is from RNAcentral.